Molecule: ribosomal RNA, 253 nt
Filed under: uncultured bacterium
Lineage: Bacteria
Description: partial 16S ribosomal RNA
Rfam family: Bacterial small subunit ribosomal RNA
Source: RNAcentral
UACGUAGGGUGCAAGCGUUAAUCGGAAUACUGGGCGUAAAGCGUGCGCAGGCGGUGAUGUAAGACAGGUGUGAAAUCCCCGGGCUUAACCUGGGAACUGCAUUUGUGACUGCAUCGCUGGAGUGCGGCAGAGGGGGGAUGGAAUUCCGCGUGUAGCAGUGAAAUGCGUAGAUAUGCGGAGGAACACCGAUGGCGAAGGCAAUCCCCUGGGCCUGCACUGACGCUCAUGCACGAAAGCGUGGGGAGCAAACAGG